ACAAGUACCGUGAGGGAAAGUUGCAAAGCACUUUGAAGAGAGAGUUAAAGAGGACGUGAAACCGGUAAGGUGGAAACGGAUAGAGUCGGCGUAUCAUUCAAUUAUUCAGUUACAUUAUUUUUAUGUUGUGACCUCUGAGCUCCAGAUUGGGACAGAGGGAAUCAGCAUAAUUUUUUGUGGUGCAUUUACUUGAUUGGUGCUUGGGGAUGUUUGAGGCAGAUUUGUUUCCGUCGUUUUGAGGCCAGCUUGCUGGUACCCAAACGGUGUUAGCAUUUUUUGUCUUGGGCAUUUGAGUAUGGCUCACGUGUAUUUAUUGGACAGAUCUGAGUGUAAGUUACGGUCGCAUGCGACACGUGCUUUUCAAUUAGUUCGGUCCAGUUAAUGCUCUCGUACUCGUUCCCCAUGUAAAAGCCGGUCAUCUAUCCGACCCGUCUUGAAACACGGACCAAGGAGUUUAUCGUGUGCGCAAGUUUUUGGGUGUUAAAAACCUAAAGGCGAAAUGAAAGUAAAUGGCUCUUUAGAGCCUGAUGUGCGAUCUUGUAAAAAAGUGCAGCAUGGCCCCAUUCUAACUGUUUACAGCAGGGUGGCGGAAGAGCGUACGCGGUGAGACCCGAAAGAUGGUGAACUAUUCCUGAGCAGGACGAAGCCAGAGGAAACUCUGGUGGAAGUCCGAAGCGGUUCUGACGUGCAAAUCGAUCGUCUGACUUGGGUAUAGGGGCGAAAGACUAAUCGAACCAUCUAGUAGCUGGUUCCUUCCGA
Molecule: ribosomal RNA, 759 nt
Filed under: Meloidogyne incognita (southern root-knot nematode)
Lineage: Eukaryota; Metazoa; Nematoda; Chromadorea; Rhabditida; Meloidogynidae
Description: partial large subunit ribosomal RNA
Rfam family: Eukaryotic large subunit ribosomal RNA
Source: RNAcentral